AGCAAUACUUUGGUGGCGACCGGCGCACGGGUGAGUAACGCGUAUGCAACCUACCUAUCAGAGGGGAAUAACCCGGCGAAAGUCGGACUAAUACCGCAUAAAACAGGGGCACCGCAUGGUGAUAUUUGUUAAAGAAAUUCGCUGAUAGAUGGGCAUGCGUUCCAUUAGGUAGUUGGUGAGGUAACGGCUCACCAAGCCGACGAUGGAUAGGGGAACUGAGAGGUUGGUCCCCCACACUGGUACUGAGACACGGACCAGACUCCUACGGGAGGCAGCAGUGAGGAAUAUUGGUCAAUGGGCGGGAGCCUGAACCAGCCAAGUCGCGUGAAGGAAGAAGGAUCUAUGGUUCGUAAACUUCUUUUGCAGGGGAAUAAAGUGCGGGACGUGUCCUGUUUUGUAUGUACCCUGAGAAUAAGGAUCGGCUAACUCCGUGCCAGCAGCCGCGGUAAUACGGAGGAUCCGAGCGUUAUCCGGAUUUAUUGGGUUUAAAGGGUGCGUAGGUGGUUUGAUAAGUCAGCGGUGAAAGUUUGCAGCUUAACUGUAAAAAUGCCGUUGAAACUGUCGGACUUGAGUGUAAAUGAGGUAGGCGGAAUGCGUGGUGUAGCGGUGAAAUGCAUAGAUAUCACGCAGAACUCCGAUU
This 640-nucleotide ribosomal RNA is filed under the name uncultured bacterium. Its description in RNAcentral is "SSU rRNA". It matches the Rfam family "Bacterial small subunit ribosomal RNA", at positions 74 to 714 of the family's 1533-position model. The record is from RNAcentral.